Molecule: transfer RNA, 72 nt
Filed under: Urocitellus parryii (Arctic ground squirrel)
Lineage: Eukaryota; Metazoa; Chordata; Mammalia; Rodentia; Sciuridae
Also listed under: 2 other names
Description: Spermophilus parryii (Arctic ground squirrel) tRNA
Rfam family: tRNA
About the family: Transfer RNA (tRNA) molecules are approximately 80 nucleotides in length.
Source: Rfam by way of RNAcentral
UGGGGUAUAGCUCAGCAGUAGACCAUGUGCUUUGCAAGCAUGAAGCCCUAGGUUCAAUCCUUAGCACCAUAA